AUUAUUUUGGCAGAUUUAAAUGCAAUGAAUUUAGAAUUCAAUUAAAUAUAAUUUAAUUAUAUAGAUAAUA
This 70-nucleotide transfer RNA is filed under the name Hydropsyche angustipennis. RNAcentral describes it as "tRNA-Leu". Lineage: Eukaryota; Metazoa; Arthropoda; Insecta; Trichoptera; Hydropsychidae. The record is from RNAcentral.